GAUGAACGCUGGCGGCGUGCCUAAUACAUGCAAGUCGAGCGAACGGACGAGAAGCUUGCUUCUCUGAUGUUAGCGGCGGACGGGUGAGUAACACGUGGAUAACCUACCUAUAAGACUGGGAUAACUUCGGGAAACCGGAGCUAAUACCGGAUAAUAUUUUGAACCGCAUGGUUCAAAAGUGAAAGACGGUCUUGCUGUCACUUAUAGAUGGAUCCGCGCUGCAUUAGCUAGUUGGUAAGGUAACGGCUUACCAAGGCAACGAUGCAUAGCCGACCUGAGAGGUGAAUCGCCCACACGGAAACGGGGACCCGUCCAGACUCCUACGGGAGGCAGCAGUAGGGAAUCUUCCGCAAUGGGCGAAAGCCUGACGGAGCAACGCCGCGUGAGUGAUGAAGGUCUUCGGAUCGUAAAACUCUGUUAUUAGGGAAGAACAUAUGUGUAAGUAACUGUGCACAUCUUGACGGUACCUAAUCAGAAAGCCACGGCUAACUACGUG
RNAcentral lists this ribosomal RNA (496 nucleotides) under uncultured bacterium. RNAcentral describes it as "partial 16S ribosomal RNA". It matches the Rfam family "Bacterial small subunit ribosomal RNA", at positions 28 to 507 of the family's 1533-position model. The record is from RNAcentral.